AGCACCUGCAUUUCCUUUUCCUAGAUGGAAAUCUGCAAAGCUUGCUUUCGACCAGUUCAGGAGACCAGUUAUGGGCCUACUGUGCUACUCCUGUACACAUGUGCCAAUAGCCAAUAGAGGGAGGGAGGGAGAUAAGUAGUUGACAAUAGCCAAUAGAGAUAUAACAAGGCAAGGCUCAUGGAUGGUAGUCUAGUAGAGUGUGCUUGUAUAGUGCGCUUGUAUUCCCCUACAGAUGGAAAGAACAAUUGCUUUCCUAACGGUUGACUUUUAGACUUCAUCUCAGGGACAAAAGCCAAAGGCCACGGAUAGCUACACGUUGUGCCAGAGGAGAUAUGUUUUAUAUAGAGAGAGGGACACCAAAUUAAUAAGUUGUUUACUUUGUACGGUUUGGUGAGCUGUGCUCUAAGAAUCUAUUUAUAUUUGUAUCAAAUAUCUAAUCUUUGAGGAAUCCUGAGAUAAUUUGGGUAAAAGAAAAACAUCUAAACAAUUUUUGUAGAGCUCUUGCAAAGUUUUUCAAUGUAAAAAUUAAUUGGCCUGUUGGAACUCAAAGUAUAGCAGGGACUAAACUAUAUUACUAUAUAAAAUAGCCAUAAUUUACUCCAAGUAAGUUGUACUUUGAUGACCAACUUGAUCAUUUUUUAAGAUGUCGCAAGUUCCCACCUGAAUUUCAUUAAAUCGCAGAUGCUAGACCGGUGAUAGUUUUACAAUCAUAUAUUUGACUGGAUGGGAAUCAAGAUCGAGUAACACUAGUGGUUCCAAAAGCGGUGGCAAUGAUGCCAGUAUCCAUGGUAGUCGGGUAGGGUUUUUUUUCACCUCAUCCCACUCUUGGUGCUCGAUCUCCGUUCUCUCCUUCACCCACAACCAAAAAUAAUUAAGCCAGCCAUUAGGCUAGCUGCACGGCCUUGCACAACUUACAAAACUACAAACUAAAAAUUUCAU
RNAcentral lists this long non-coding RNA (939 nucleotides) under Setaria viridis. RNAcentral describes it as "long non-coding RNA (SVIR_LNC009952)". Lineage: Eukaryota; Viridiplantae; Streptophyta; Magnoliopsida; Poales; Poaceae. The record is from RNAcentral.